Camellia sinensis is the source of this 3232-nucleotide non-coding RNA. Lineage: Eukaryota; Viridiplantae; Streptophyta; Magnoliopsida; Ericales; Theaceae. The record is from RefSeq and is a predicted model, not a curated record.
AUAUAAUCACCUUACACAUUUCCAAAAGACAGACCCCAUUGAUUUAACUCAGUCUCCCACUAAGAAGGACGAGAUGGGUUAUAACUUAUAAUAAGUUGAUAAUUCACUGACAUAGAAUUAUUCGACGGUGGGAUAUAUGUGUUUGAUCAGCAAAAGGAUCGCUCAGAGGUUUAUUGCAUGUAAGGAAAACCAGCAUGGCCGUAUUAAUAUGACGAUACUUCCAUGGCUCGGAAAGCUCUUGGUUUUGAUAUAGCCAUCGAAUGAGAUUAUCAACACCGGUGCAAGAAAUAGAGGGUGAACAUCUAUAAAUUAGCAUUGAACAACACCGUACGGUGUGGCUUUAAGAGAUCAUUAGUCCCCACAUUAGACCACUAAGACAGUUGCUUAAGGUCUCAAUUUUUCAAAGGCUUAAUUAGAUAAAGCCUUAUUUUGAAGUUUAGUCUGAGAUCUCUAAAAAGCUUAAACUGCUGCAGGAGUACAUGCAUGGGUUAAGUACACACACUUCUCUAAUCUCAUGACAAGAUGCUUCAAAUUAUGUGAAUAACUGUCGUUUGUACUUUGCAGUGUUAGGAAAUUAUCAUCCGGGUAUCUUCUUGGAGGAGAGAACAAGACUUUUUCACAAAGCCCAAGUAGUUUAAUAGGUUUGGUUAAUCUCUGAAAACUUUUUCACAAAUGCAUGCUUUAGGUGAAGGUUUGAUGUAUAGGUAGAAAGUUGGUUGAUGCAUUGAAUGGACAUUGUAUGUGCGUCUGUCUGUAAAAUGCUUCUUCCAUGAAUGAUGAGUGAGUAGUGGAAUGUCAGGCAGAAGAUGAAAGUGGGGCAUCCUUGGCGACCUUCCAACACGUAUAUAGAAGAUACAUAAUCUAAGGGAUAGCUGAGUAGCCAGGAUAAGUGCUUCAAGAAGUGGUGUUCAUUAGUUUGAAUCUUAUAAAGGGCUUGACCCUUUGGGGCAAUUCCCCAACUAUAGUACUUAUGCUUGAUUAUCCGAUAUAUGUAAGACGGAAGAAUUACAUUAGUAGGGAGAAAACGAAAUACAUCAUUAAGAGAAGUAAAAAACUUGCAAAUGGAAAGUACAAUUACUAUAGGGAUGCAAGAAUUUGAGUAUCGGAAGGCAAGAAUUUGAGUGAGUAAUAUUCUAAAUUAACCUAUGACUACCCCUAAAUAGUUCGUCGCGUAGUAACAAUUUAACGGUAAGAUUUAAGAUUUCAAAUUGAAGUCAUCCCAAAAGAUCAUUGAAAGAUUGUCCAGUCGUUACUUUUAAUGUUUAGAUGCCUAGUUAUGUAUAUAUUUAAUUAUAUCUAAUGUUAACCAGUGCCUAGAAAUCCUGAGACAAUUGUUAAAGCGUAUUUAAUGCCAUAUUAACUAGUGUUGAUUUUACUACAUUCCUACUUUUAUCACACUGAUUAAAUUGUAUGCAUUGAUUGUUUAUUAAAUUACAUGCAUUAAUUGUUUAACUAAUUUUAGUAAUGAUUUAAUUUAUAACCACUUUGUAACUAAUGACUUGUAUUACCAUGCAUGAGAAUAUAAUUAUUUACAUUUUAAACCAUUUUGAAGACUCAUUGUUUGUAAUUAACUACUAUUAACAAUCUUAAGGGUUAAUCCAGUGGUCAAGAUUUGGAACUUGAGAGUAUAUUCCUUCCAAAUUUUAGGUUCAAAAGUGCAAAUAAUUUCUUAAAAAUAGUUCAUACGGAUUUUUUGCCAUGAUUUUAAUUGAAAUGUCACAAGUGAACGAUGGAAUUAAUUUUCUAAACUAGUCAACCCAAUAAACCAAAUACGAAGUUAUUAAAAAAAUCAACUACUAUUAACAUGACCCUUAAACUAUUAACUUAAAGCUUUACUGCUUUUUGGGCACAUAAAGUACCUGAAGCUGAAAGUCCACUUUCCAUACUGCUAAUAAUAGAGAGGGUAGGUAAGUUCAUGGUAAAUUAAACAGAGAGGGUAGGUAAGUUCAUGGUUAAAUGUACCUCAAUAGAGAGAUUUUCCCCAUUUCCAUAUUGGGUAAACGUACAGGAUUGUAUUUGUUUUUGUAGAUGUGACCUUUAGGGAACCAUUCGUUCAAGAAAACAAAAGACCUGUAGGGGACAAUAUGCAACCUUCUGACACUUUCCUUUUCUGGGUCUCGAUUCAUAUGUUUACAAACUUUCGAUCAUAGUUCUAAAUCGCGGUAUCGGUUAAUAUAACGGUAUCGAUUGCAGAGUAUUGGUAUCAAUAGUAUCGGCCGGUACGUAUUGAAAAUCGGGUGCCACGAUUGUGAAAUUUUAAAAAUCAUUAGCAAUCUCUCUAAAACUGAAUUUUAUGCAUUUUUUUUUGACUCUUCUAACCUUAAUUUGUUAUACUUUAAUCAAAAUUUUGUUAUGUAAGAGUGUUGUUGACUCAUUUUUAACUAAAUGAUAUGUAUUUAUUUUUGGUAUAUGUUAAACUUUUAAUAAAAAAAUUGAUUUGAAUAUUUAUUUUUACUUGUACUGAGAAAAAAAUAAACAUAUAUAUUAAUAUAAAUAGAGAUGUAGGUGUAAAAAAAAAUUAAAAAAUUAAAAUAAAAUAAAAUAAAAUAAAAAAACGUUAAGCAUUUGCAAUCUACAAAUCCACCAUAAACCCAUGCACCUCCAUGUACCCAAGUACCUCUCUCUUCUUACCCAUUUCAAUCUCAGACUCCCAAUGCACCUCCAUGUAUAUCCAUUUCAAUCUCAGACUCCCAUACCAUAAUACAACCACAAACAAUCCUAUCCUCUCUCUCUCUUUCUCUCUCUCUCUCUCUCUCUCAAAAUGUUGACUGGAAGUUGCAGAAUCCUGCCAAACCCAGACAAAUUCAGCUUCAGAUCAAUGAAAAAAAAAAAAAAAAAAAAAAAAAAAAAAAAAAUAGAAACAGAGCACAACAAGAAGAAAAAUAGAGACUAAUUCACGCAACGACACAACAACAGAAGCAGAGAAAGUAUCAGACUGUAUCGGCCCAUGUAUCGAAUUCACGCCGCUACGUACCGAGACUCGGACGCUACAACUAUGAAUUUCAUUCUCACCGAUAUACCAAUCUAUCUCCGAAUCAGUGCUAUAAUUUUCCGGUAUGAAUACCGGCCGAUAUGUAAAACUAUGCCUUCAAUUACAUAAAUUUUUUUCCACUGUCAAAAUGCAUGUAGUUUAAUGUUUUAAAUAUCCAUAUAUAUAAAUUUUUUGUCUUUGCUUCGACACUCUAGACAUGGUAACUAUGAAGUACGGAUAUGAAUAUGAAUACGGUAAUUU